AGAGUUAAACAGUACGUGAAAUUGUUGAAAGGGAAACGAUUGAAGUCAGUCAUACCAACGGGAAAUCAACCUUUUGAGUUUGGUCUCGUGGGUUUUGAAGAGUUUAAAAGCCUUCGGAUUUUCGAGAUUGGGUUCUUCUGGUGUACUUUCUCGUACGGUUAGUCAACAUCGGUUUCGGUCGGGGGUAGAUUAGUACGAGAAGGUGGCUCGCUCUUCGGGGCGAGUGUUAUAGCUCGUAUGAGUGCCUCCGCUGGGACCGAGGACUGCGGUGCAUGCCUCAUCCGGGGCUGGCCAGCUGGACGCUGAUGACUUGGCGGCUUGCGGACAACCUAGUUGACCGUGGGCGACCAGGUGAUCACCGAUUCAGUGUGGGCACACAUGCGCCAAGGAUGUUGACGAAAUGGUUUUAAACGACC
RNAcentral lists this ribosomal RNA (416 nucleotides) under uncultured fungus. RNAcentral describes it as "eukaryotic LSU rRNA". The record is from RNAcentral. Lineage: Eukaryota; Fungi.